ACGAAAAAUCUGAGGGGAACUCACUUCAGGUUCACCUCCCGUGACGUCUGGUUCCAGGACCCAAUCACGGCUCCGAUUCUCACCCCUAGCCUUGGAUUUAACCUUUGGUUGUAUUACACUCUUGACAAGAGGUGGUAUAGUCCUUCCUCCCCUUCAGACCCUGCUUGGCUGAGUUCCCCUGGCCUAAAGCCCCAGGGCAGUUGCUCCUGACCCCUCAGGACAUGCAGAUCCAGUGAUGUGCCAAGAGAGGCCUAGGAGAAUUAGCUUGGAUUAGGUCGCCUUUCUAUGUGCAACCUCCUAAUUGAUUUGCAAAUUUAGCAUGGUUCACCUAAUUUGUUUUCUGAGGCCUCAGAUUACAUCCAUAAAUCUCAAAG
Hemicordylus capensis (graceful crag lizard) is the source of this 374-nucleotide long non-coding RNA. RefSeq lists it as uncharacterized. The record is from RefSeq and is a predicted model, not a curated record. The transcript has 3 exons. Lineage: Eukaryota; Metazoa; Chordata; Lepidosauria; Squamata; Cordylidae.